This 486-nucleotide ribosomal RNA is filed under the name Paenibacillus sp. RNAcentral describes it as "bacterial SSU rRNA". It matches the Rfam family "Bacterial small subunit ribosomal RNA", at positions 200 to 674 of the family's 1533-position model. The record is from RNAcentral. Lineage: Bacteria; Bacillati; Bacillota; Bacilli; Caryophanales; Paenibacillaceae.
AUGAAACACGGAGCAAUCUGUGGCUUAUAGAUGGGCCUGCGGCGCAUUAGCUAGUUGGUAGGGUAACGGCCUACCAAGGCGACGAUGCGUAGCCGACCUGAGAGGGUGAACGGCCACACUGGGACUGAGACACGGCCCAGACUCCUACGGGAGGCAGCAGUAGGGAAUCUUCCGCAAUGGACGCAAGUCUGACGGAGCAACGCCGCGUGAGUGAUGAAGGUUUUCGGAUCGUAAAGCUCUGUUGCCCUAGACGAACAGCAAGGCGAGUAACUGCGCUUUGUGUGACGGUAUAGGAGAAGAAAGCCCCGGCUAACUACGUGCCAGCAGCCGCGGUAAUACGUAGGGGGCAAGCGUUGUCCGGAAUUAUUGGGCGUAAAGCGCGCGCAGGCGGUUAAUUAAGUUGGGUGUUUAAGCCCGGGGCUCAACCCCGGUUCGCAUCCAAAACUGGUUGACUUGAGUGUAGGAGAGGAAAGUGGAAUUCCACGU